This 472-nucleotide ribosomal RNA is filed under the name Enterococcus faecalis. Its description in RNAcentral is "bacterial SSU rRNA". It matches the Rfam family "Bacterial small subunit ribosomal RNA", at positions 28 to 481 of the family's 1533-position model. The record is from RNAcentral. Lineage: Bacteria; Bacillati; Bacillota; Bacilli; Lactobacillales; Enterococcaceae.
GACGAACGCUGGCGGCGUGCCUAAUACAUGCAAGUCGAACGCUUCUUUCCUCCCGAGUGCUUGCACUCAAUUGGAAAGAGGAGUGGCGGACGGGUGAGUAACACGUGGGUAACCUACCCAUCAGAGGGGGAUAACACUUGGAAACAGGUGCUAAUACCGCAUAACAGUUUAUGCCGCAUGGCAUAAGAGUGAAAGGCGCUUUCGGGUGUCGCUGAUGGAUGGACCCGCGGUGCAUUAGCUAGUUGGUGAGGUAACGGCUCACCAAGGCCACGAUGCAUAGCCGACCUGAGAGGGUGAUCGGCCACACUGGGACUGAGACACGGCCCAGACUCCUACGGGAGGCAGCAGUAGGGAAUCUUCGGCAAUGGACGAAAGUCUGACCGAGCAACGCCGCGUGAGUGAAGAAGGUUUUCGGAUCGUAAAACUCUGUUGUUAGAGAAGAACAAGGACGUUAGUAACUGAACGUCCCCUG